GUCCCUCUGCGGGGCUCGUGAGGUCGAGACACGAAUCCCUGACUUUGUCGAAUCGGGGGUCGAACGGUGCGUGGUGUGCAGACCCGGCUCGUUUCACCGGGGCGCCUGAAGCGCACCUCCAAAGAUUCCCACCUACUGAGUACGGUAGGGGUUCGGCUCAAACAAACCCACGACCACCGCGGUAAGGAC
This 189-nucleotide non-coding RNA is filed under the name Sandaracinus sp. Its description in RNAcentral is "6S RNA". It matches the Rfam family "6S / SsrS RNA". From Rfam's summary of the family: E. coli 6S RNA was the first non coding RNA to be sequenced, but its function was unknown until recently. It consists of 184 nucleotides that fold into an extended hairpin structure with a large single-stranded internal bulge. The 6S RNA specifically associates with RNA polymerase holoenzyme containing the sigma70 specificity factor. The record is from RNAcentral. Lineage: Bacteria; Pseudomonadati; Myxococcota; Polyangiales; Sandaracinaceae.